RNAcentral lists this transfer RNA (76 nucleotides) under compost metagenome. RNAcentral's name for it is "tRNA-Asn". It matches the Rfam family "tRNA". From Rfam's summary of the family: Transfer RNA (tRNA) molecules are approximately 80 nucleotides in length. The record is from RNAcentral.
UCCUUGAUAGCUCAGUCGGUAGAGCGUUGCACUGUUAAUGCAAAUGUCCGUGGAUCGUCCCCACGUCAGGGAGCCA